AGGAAGAUCCACUGGAGAAGGGCAUGGCAACCCACUCCAGUGUUCUUGUCUGGAAAAUUCCAUAGGCAAAGGAGCCUGACGGGCUACAGUCCAUGGGGUCGCAAAGAGUCAGACACAGCUGAGCGACUGAGCACUCAGACACACACAGCACUCCCCUUUAAUUGCUCACCAUUAUUUAUAAAAUCAGCAGCAUUAACGGUUGCCUGCCCCCUUCACAAGGCAGUUAAGAGGGAAAGAUCCCCAGCUGUAGAGCUUUACCCCUCGAUUCUUCAGCGUGCACAGUUGGUGGUGCUUUGGGUAAACGUCAAGGCGAUUUAAAUGGACCUGAUCGCCUUUCACGUAGCCAGGUUGGAAACCCCACUCUUCCAUGCUCGAUAGGAAGUGUCAGCAGCCACCGUCGUAACUUUCUCCGAGUCCCUUCCCGAGCAGGGGAGGCUGAUGUCAGAUGAUGCCGUCGUCAGAUGAUGCCGUCUGUAAACAGAGUAGAAGGGAGAGAAAUAAAGGGAGCGGGUUAGUUGCAACAAAUGCUUUGGUCAGCAGUUCUCCACCCCUUCUGCUCGCCCACCUCCAAAUGCAGAUGCCAAAAAAGCGUGAUCCUUCCUUUUCCAGCCACUUUUGUGGUUCAGGGAGGGAGGCCAUGAGACCCCCUUUGCCCAGAGAGAUGUAGGCAGAGCGACCUCCGGGAAAGAUAUUUCUCCGUGGAUACAGGAGAUGGGUGUGUGGGAAGGGUGGCCUUUUCCACCCUGACAGCCCUCCUUUCCUGCAUUCACACCUGGCCGCGUGAAGACCUGCUGUCUGUGGGUGUGGCAACGACCUGGUGGCCUUGAAGCAUGCCACCUGAGGAUAAAACCUGAACCUGUGACAGAUGUUGAAACGACACCUAAAAGAACAAUAGUGACUCAGUUUUAGCAUUGCUGCUGCUGCUAAGUCACUUCAGUCGUGUCCGACUCUGUGCGACCCCAUAGAUGGCAGCCCACCAGGCUCCGCCAUCCCUGGAAUUCUCCAGGCAAGAACACUGGAGUGGGUUGCCAUUUCCUUCUCCAAUGCAGGAAAGUGAAAAGUGAAAGUGAAGUCGUUCAGUCGUGUCGGACCCUUCGCGACCUCAUGGACUGCAGCCCACCAGGCUUCUACAUCCAUGGGAUUUUCCAGGCAAGAGUACCUGAGUGGGGUGCCAUUGCCUUCUCCACAGUUUUAGCAUUGGGACCUAGCAAAUCAUAGAGGUUCUAAAAAUAUAACACAAAAAUAACUCAAGAC
This is a long non-coding RNA of Bos taurus (domestic cattle), 1254 nucleotides long. NCBI's taxonomy places the organism in Eukaryota, Metazoa, Chordata, Mammalia, Artiodactyla, Bovidae. The record is from Ensembl.